CCCGCUGAACUUAAGCAUAUUAAUAAGCGGAGGAAAAGAAAGCAACAGCGAUUCCCUUAGUAGUGGCGAACGAAGCGGGAUAAGCUCAGUUUUGAAAUCGGGCCUAGGUAUCUGGGUCCGAAUUGUAGCCUUCAGGGCUCUAGUCGCGGUUUGCCGGCAGUGUAAGUUCCUUGGAAUGGGACGCCAGAGAGGGUGAGAGCCCCGUACACCACUGUUAAAGCAAGCGCCAGUCGUCUAGGGUCUUACGAGUCGGGUUGUUUGGGAUUGCAGCCCAAAAUCUAUGGGGAGGUAGAUCACUCCUAAAGCUAAAUAUCGGUGGGAGACCGAUAGCGAACAAGUACCGUGAGGGAAAGGUGAAAAGAACUUUGAAAAGAGAGUUAAAAGCGUUCGAAAUCGUUAAGAGGGAAGCGAACGGAACCGAGAUGCGCGGUGUUUCUUUUCGGCGUGAAGGAGUUUCGUGGUGCGUAUCACAGAGCCUAAAGCCUGUCGGUGCGUAUAGCGGGGUUUCGUUGCGUUUACUAAGGGAUAUCACGGGCCGACAUCAGUUUGGAGUGCCGGAAGGGGCGAAACGGAGAAGUGUGGCCAGCUGCUUACGUAGUUGAUCAUAGACUGACGUUGCGAUUCCCACGAUGUACUCUGGACUGGGGUAACGAUUGCUGUGCCUCGGCGAGCCUACGGGCUUCUACAGCGAAAGAAUGUCGGCGAUUCGGCGGUUCUGUCCGACCCGUCUUGAAACACGG
RNAcentral lists this ribosomal RNA (740 nucleotides) under uncultured fungus. RNAcentral's name for it is "eukaryotic LSU rRNA". It matches the Rfam family "Eukaryotic large subunit ribosomal RNA", at positions 24 to 664 of the family's 3401-position model. The record is from RNAcentral. Lineage: Eukaryota; Fungi.